Long non-coding RNA from Nymphaea colorata (pocket water lily), 649 nucleotides. RefSeq lists it as uncharacterized. The record is from RefSeq and is a predicted model, not a curated record. NCBI's taxonomy places the organism in Eukaryota, Viridiplantae, Streptophyta, Magnoliopsida, Nymphaeales, Nymphaeaceae. The transcript is spliced from 2 exons.
GCAGUGACAGAAAUUAAGAUGGGCCUGAGGAAGGGCAGCGCCGUCAGUUUGCGACGGCUCUCUUUCCCCGUGAUCUUUCUGGCCUUGUUGUUGCUCAUAUUUUCCGGAAGCGCUCACGCCAGAAAGAUGGCGAGGGAUGUGAAGGCAGGUGGGCCCAUUAGCUACCGGAGUCUUCGGCGACCGCCUCCUUAUGGUCCGCAUUGCAGUAACCCAUAUAUGUGCGGCCCUUGCCCUUAUAUACUUGGUUGUUCUUCACGAGGAGGGCCGCCCCUUGGGCCGAGCGCCCCACUUCCAUGAAAUGCCACAUUUUAGCAAAUAAAUGCUUAAUUUCCUCCAUAUAAUAAGCACCAGUACGUACCUGUGGUUCGUGGAAGGUUGCCAGAAGAAGAGGAGGAAAAAAGUCGAAAGCGAUUGCCGAUAACAGCAAGUGUCAGUCUUAGACCCUUGUUUCCAGCUUCAGGCAUGCCAUGCAAGCUGGUAAAUCUUGUUCGGACAGCAGGUUUAUGUAAUAAAUCUGGAGAUAUAACUGUACGAGAGGUGGCAUUGUGAUCAUUUACAUGACUGUAAGUGUGUUGCCGCUCUUUCACGAGCCUAAAUAAAAGCUUUUUCUUUCAAGAUGGUAUUACAAUUAAAGCUCACUUUUUUUUUA